AAGACGGGACGAAGCGUAACCGUAAGGAUACGUGGACUGUCUUGAAGAGAGAAUGCCGGAAUGAGUAGCGAGAAUGAAGUGAGAAUCUUCAUGGCCGAAUAUCUAAGGUUUCCAGGGUAAAGCUGAUCUGCCCUGGGUAAGUCGGGACCUAAGGCGAGGUCGAAAGACGUAGCCGAUGGACAACAGGUUGAAAUUCCUGUACUGCAUUAAAUCAGAACUGUGGGGACACAGAAGGAAGGCAUGAGCCGGAAAAGGAAAAUCCGGUGCAAGCAUGGGAGGGGUAUGACAGGCAAAUCCGUCAUGCAACCCGAGAAUGUGACGCGGAGCGAACAAAAGUAGCGAAGCAUGCUUACCGGCUGUCGAGAAAAGCCGCUAUUGUGUUUAAUGUACCCGUACCGUAAACCGACACAGGUGGAUGAGGAGAGAAUCCUAAGGCCGGCGGGAGAAGCAUUGUUAAGGAACUCGGCAAAAUGACCCCGUAACUUCGGGAGAAGGGGUGCUCUUAGAAAUAAGAGCCGCAGAGAAUUGGCCCAAGCAACUGUUUAGCAAAAACACAGGUCUAUGCAAAACCGAAAGGUGAGGUAUAUGGGCUGACGCCUGCCCGGUGCUGGAAGGUUAAGAGGAGAGGUCAGAGCAAUCGAAGCCUUGAAUUUAAGCCCCAGUAAACGGCGGCCGUAACUAUAACGGUCCUAAGGUAGCGAAAUUCCUUGUCGGGUAAGUUCCGACCCGCACGAAAGGCGUAAUGAUUUGGGCACUGUCUCGACAAUGCACCCGGUGAAAUUGAAAUACCAGUGAAGAUGCUGGUUACCUGCGCCAGGACGGAAAGACCCCAUGGAGCUUUACUCUAGUUUGAUACUGGGAUUCGGUAUUGCAUGUACAGGAUAAGUGGGAGGCUGUGAAGCGAUGACGCCAGUUGUCGCAGAGCCGCUGUUGGGAUACCACCCCUGCAGUACUGGGUUUCUAACCUGCGGCCGUAAUCCGGCCGGGGGACAAUGUCUGACGGGGAGUUUGACUGGGGCGGUCGCCUCCGAAAGGGUAUCGGAGGCGCUCAAAGGUUCCCUCAGAAUGGUUGGAAACCAUUCGAAGAGUGCAAAGGCAGAAGGGAGCUUGACUGCGACACCGACGGGUGGAGCAGGUACGAAAGUAGGACUUAGUGAUCCGGUGGUAUGAAAGUGGGAUUGCCAUCGCUCAACGGAUAAAAGCUACCCUGGGAUAACAGGCUUAUCACUCCCAAGAGUUCACAUCGACGGAGUGGUUUGGCACCUCGAUGUCGGCUCAUCGCAUCCUGGGGCUGUAGUAGGUCCCAAGGGUUGGGCUGUUCGCCCAUUAAAGCGGUACGCGAGCUGGGUUCAGAACGUCGUGAGACAGUUCGGUCCCUAUCCGGCGUGGGCGUAGGAUAUCUGAGAGGAGCUGUCCUUAGUACGAGAGGACCGGGAUGGACUGACCUCUGGUGUACCGGUUGCACUGCCAAGUGCAUGGCCGGGUAGCCAAGUCGGGACGGGAUAAACGCUGAAGGCAUCUAAGCGUGAAGCCCCCCUCAAGAUGAGAUAUCCCAUAGAGUAAUCUAGUAAGACCCCUUGAAGACGACGAGGUAGAUAGGUGAAAGGUGGAAGCGUGGUGACAUGUGGAGCUGAUUCAUACUAAUAGGUCGAGGGCUUAAC
RNAcentral lists this ribosomal RNA (1661 nucleotides) under metagenome. RNAcentral describes it as "bacterial LSU rRNA". It matches the Rfam family "Bacterial large subunit ribosomal RNA", at positions 1242 to 2925 of the family's 2925-position model. The record is from RNAcentral.